RNAcentral lists this ribosomal RNA (406 nucleotides) under Helicoverpa armigera (cotton bollworm). RNAcentral's name for it is "partial 16S ribosomal RNA". Lineage: Eukaryota; Metazoa; Arthropoda; Insecta; Lepidoptera; Noctuidae. The record is from RNAcentral.
AAGGGCUGAGUAGAUUGAGUGUACAAGGUAGCAUAAUCAUUAGUCAUUUAAUUGAUGACUUGUAUGAAAGAUUGGAUGAAAUAUAUACUGUCUCUUAUUUAUAAUAUAAAAUUUAAUUUUUUAGUUAAAAAGCUAAAAUUAAUUAAAAAGACGAGAAGACCCUAUAGAGUUUUAUAAAUUAUAAUUAUUAAGAUUAUUUAUAAAAUUAAUAAUUAAAAUAAUUUAAUUUAAUUUGUUGGGGUGACAAAAAAAUAAAAAUAACUUUUUUUUUAUAAAACAUAAAUAAGUGAAUAAUUGAUCCAAUAUUAUUGAUUAUAAGAAAAAAUUACCUUAGGGAUAACAGCGUAAUUUUUUUUUUUAGUUCAUAUAAAAAAAAGAGUUUGCGACCUCGAUGUUGGAAUUAAGA